CCAGAUCAUUAUGUACAAGGAGUUAUGAUCAUUUAAAGUUGGAGUAAAAAUAUGCCAGGCCUCAGUACUUUUUCCUGCAUGUUUUACUGUUCACUACUAUUCACGGUUCGAUUGGAAUGUUCAUAACUCGUCGCUCGGGUGUCCGUUUUGGAUGAUCCACAUAUCGUUGGAAAUAUUAUUCGAUACUUUACGCAAUGAUGGGUCAUAAUCUAAG
RNAcentral lists this long non-coding RNA (214 nucleotides) under Capsicum annuum. RNAcentral's name for it is "long non-coding RNA (CANN_LNC001283)". The record is from RNAcentral. Lineage: Eukaryota; Viridiplantae; Streptophyta; Magnoliopsida; Solanales; Solanaceae.